UACAGAGGAGCCAAGCGUUGUCCGGAUUGACUGGGCGUAAAGCGCACGCAGGCGGACGCGCGCGUGGGGUGUGAAAUCUGGCCGCUUAACGGCCAGGCGCCAUCCCAUACGGCGUGUCUGGAGUGAUGCAGAGGUCGAUGGAAUUGCCGGUGUAGAGGUGAAAUGCGCAGAGAUCGGGAGGAACACCAAUGGCGAAAGCAGGUACCUGGACUAGUACUGACACUCAGCUGCGAAAGCUAGGGGAGCAAACAGG
This 253-nucleotide ribosomal RNA is filed under the name uncultured bacterium. RNAcentral's name for it is "partial 16S ribosomal RNA". It matches the Rfam family "Bacterial small subunit ribosomal RNA", at positions 524 to 776 of the family's 1533-position model. The record is from RNAcentral.